This 242-nucleotide unclassified non-coding RNA is filed under the name air metagenome. RNAcentral's name for it is "partial contains small subunit ribosomal RNA, internal transcribed spacer 1, and 5.8S ribosomal RNA". The stretch from base 1 to 46 matches the Rfam family "Eukaryotic small subunit ribosomal RNA", at positions 1786 to 1831 of the family's 1831-position model. The record is from RNAcentral.
AAGUCGUAACAAGGUUUCCGUAGGUGAACCUUCGGAAGGAUCAUUACCGUAACGCGGCGGUCCAGCAGCCCAAAAAACUGCUGGUCGCCACACGCGUUUAUCACCCUUGAAUUUGAGAACCUUCUGUUUCCUCGGCGGGUCCGCCCGCCAACGAGGACCCCUUGAACUCUUUGUAGUAGCAGUAUUUGUCUGAAAACAAAGUUAAAUAAUUAAAACUUUCAACAAUGGAUCUCUUGGUUCUG